AUUGAACGCUGGCGGCAUGCCUUACACAUGCAAGUCGAACGGCAGCACGGGUGCUUGCACCUGGUGGCGAGUGGCGAACGGGUGAGUAAUACAUCGGAACGUACCUUAUCGUGGGGGAUAACGCAGCGAAAGCUGUGCUAAUACCGCAUACGCCCUGAGGGGGAAAGCGGGGGAUCGCAAGACCCCCCGCGAGUAGAGCGGCCGAUGCCUGAUUAGCUUGUUGGUGGGGUAAAAGCCCACCAAGGCGACGAUCAGUAGCUGGUCUGAGAGGACGAUCAGCCACACUGGGACUGAGACACGGCCCAGACUCCUACGGGAGGCAGCAGUGGGGAAUUUUGGACAAUGGGGGCAACCCUGAUCCAGCAAUGCCGCGUGAGUGAAGAAGGCCUUCGGGUUGUAAAGCUCUUUUGUCAGGGAAGAAACACCGGCUCUAACACAGUCCGGGAAUGACGGUACCUGAAGAAUAAGCACCGGCUAACUACGUGCCAGCAGCCGCAGUAA
Molecule: ribosomal RNA, 501 nt
Filed under: uncultured bacterium
Lineage: Bacteria
Description: partial 16S ribosomal RNA
Rfam family: Bacterial small subunit ribosomal RNA
Source: RNAcentral